AACGAACGCUGGCGGCAUGCCUAACACAUGCAAGUCGAACGAGACCUUCGGGUCUAGUGGCGCACGGGGGCGUAACGCGUGGGAACCUGCCCUUAGGUUCGGAAUAACUCCCCGAAGGGGGUGCUAAUACAGCAGAAUGUCUUCGGACCAAAGAUUUAUCGCCUUUGGGUGGGCCCGCGUUGGUUUAGCUAGUUGGUAGGGUAAAAGCCUACCAAGGCGACGUUCCAUAGCUGGUCUGAGAGGAUGAUCAGCCACACUGGGACUGAGACCCGGCCCAGACUCGUACGGGAGGCAGCAGUAGGGAAUAUUGGACAAUGGGCGAAAGCCUGAUACAGCAAUGCCGCGUGAGUGAUGAAGGCCUUAGGAUUGUAAAGCUCUUUUACCCGGGAUGAUAAUGACAGUACCGGGAGAAUAAGCUCCGGCUAACUCCGUG
This 433-nucleotide ribosomal RNA is filed under the name uncultured bacterium. RNAcentral describes it as "partial 16S ribosomal RNA". It matches the Rfam family "Bacterial small subunit ribosomal RNA", at positions 29 to 507 of the family's 1533-position model. The record is from RNAcentral.